This is a long non-coding RNA of Myotis brandtii (Brandt's bat), 167 nucleotides long. RefSeq lists it as uncharacterized. Lineage: Eukaryota; Metazoa; Chordata; Mammalia; Chiroptera; Vespertilionidae. The transcript is spliced from 2 exons. The record is from RefSeq and is a predicted model, not a curated record.
AUUACUGCUGUGUAUGUGCUCCAUGUGAGUGACGUAGGUGCUUAUGUAGGUGCGUUCCGACUUACGGCGAAAAUCGUAUUACAUCGCGCCGUAGGAGUGGAUCUCCAACAUAACCCAAGGACCUACUGUAGCACCCUUUCUUUUCAGCUUGAAGAAAGUCCCUUUGG